Molecule: ribosomal RNA, 253 nt
Filed under: uncultured bacterium
Lineage: Bacteria
Description: partial 16S ribosomal RNA
Rfam family: Bacterial small subunit ribosomal RNA
Source: RNAcentral
UACGUAGGGACCAAGCGUUGUUCGGAUUUACUGGGCGUAAAGGGCGCGUAGGCGGCGUGACAAGUCACUUGUGAAAUCUCCGGGCUUAACUCGGAACGGUCAAGUGAUACUGUUGUGCUAGAGUACAGAAGGGGCAAUCGGAAUUCUUGGUGUAGCGGUGAAAUUCGUAGAUAUGGGGAGGAACACCGGUGGCGAAGGCGGCCACCUGGACGGUAACUGACGCUGAGACGCGAAAGCGUGGGGAGCAAACAGG